AGGAUAAACGCUGGCGGCGUGCCUAAAACAUGCAAGUCGAACGGGUGCCUUCGGGUACCAGUGGCGGACGGCUGAGUAACACGUGGGUGACCUGCCCGAGCGCGGGGGACAACCGCCCGAAAGGGUGGCUAAUACCGCAGAUGUCGCGGAUUCGGUUCCGUGACUAAACCUGUAAGGGGCGCUCGGAGGGGCCCGCGGCCGAUUAGCUGGUUGGUGGGGUGACGGCCUACCAAGGCUCCGAUCGGUAGCUGGUCUGAGAGGAUGAUCAGCCAGACUGGGACUGCGACACGGCCCAGACUCCUACGGGAGGCAGCAGUUAGGAAUUUUGGGCAAUGGGGGCAACCCUGACCCAGCAACGCCGCGUGGGUGAUGAAGGCCUUCGGGUCGUAAAGCCCUUUUCCGGGGGACGAGUGGUGACGGUACCCGGGAAUCGAGCCCCGGCUAACUACGUGCCAGCAGCCGC
This 463-nucleotide ribosomal RNA is filed under the name uncultured soil bacterium. Its description in RNAcentral is "bacterial SSU rRNA". It matches the Rfam family "Bacterial small subunit ribosomal RNA", at positions 26 to 518 of the family's 1533-position model. The record is from RNAcentral.